GGGGCUGACUGGUUUCGACAUCAGAUCUGUUGGGCGGGUUUGCGACCCGAGUUGCUCAGACUCGCUAAACGGGGCACCAACAAGAAUUGCCGAUGAGCAGUUCACUCUCGCCGCCUGAUUUUCAGGUGAGUGAAGAGUCAUCGUGAACAGAAAUGUCGCACGGGGCCAAUCCAUCACAGCCCGGCAACAGAAGUGAGGGAUGACGGCGGGAAAGACCGCUGACGGCGAGAAAGACCGCUGACACCCGGGAAAGCCCGGGCGCUGAUCGCAAGAUCGGCUGACCCGCCAGUGCACCGGCGUCAGGUGCAAUGCGGGAAUGGUCGUAUCGAGUCCGUUCACGGGCUGGUGGACGGGGGUUCGAUUCCCCCCAGCUCCACGA
Molecule: transfer-messenger RNA, 379 nt
Filed under: Acidimicrobiaceae bacterium
Lineage: Bacteria; Bacillati; Actinomycetota; Acidimicrobiia; Acidimicrobiales; Acidimicrobiaceae
Also listed under: 1 other name
Rfam family: transfer-messenger RNA
About the family: Bacterial tmRNA, also known as 10Sa RNA or SsrA, is named for its dual tRNA and mRNA-like properties.
Source: RNAcentral